Molecule: unclassified non-coding RNA, 299 nt
Filed under: uncultured fungus
Lineage: Eukaryota; Fungi
Description: partial contains 5.8S ribosomal RNA, internal transcribed spacer 2, and large subunit ribosomal RNA
Source: RNAcentral
AACGCACAUUGCGCCCGUCAGUAUUCUGGCGGGCAUGCCUGUUCGAGCGUCAUUUCAACCCUCAGGACCCUUUUUUGGGGACCUGGCGUUGGGGAUCAGCCGCCCCGGCCUGUGCCGCCUCGUCGCGCGCGGUGCCUGGCUGACCCUGAAAUACAGUGGCGGUCUCGCUGUGACUCCUUUGCGUAGUAAUCUCACCUCGCACUGAAGCUCGCGGCCUGGCCACGCCGUAAAACCUCUCUCGGUAGAGAAGCACAAUCUUGGUUGACCUCGGAUCAGGUAGGGUUACCCGCUGAACUUAA